AGGUGGGGAAGGGGGAAAACGGGUGAUGGGCAUUGAGGAGGGCACUUGUUGGGACGAGCACUGGCUGUUGUACGUAAGCGAUGAAUUAUGGGAACCUGCUUCCAAAGCCAAGAGCACACUGUAGACAUUGAACGUUAGCUAACGUGACAGUA
This is a long non-coding RNA of Herpailurus yagouaroundi (jaguarundi), 152 nucleotides long. RefSeq lists it as uncharacterized. NCBI's taxonomy places the organism in Eukaryota, Metazoa, Chordata, Mammalia, Carnivora, Felidae. The transcript is spliced from 3 exons. The record is from RefSeq and is a predicted model, not a curated record.